RNAcentral lists this ribosomal RNA (1453 nucleotides) under uncultured organism. RNAcentral's name for it is "SSU rRNA". It matches the Rfam family "Bacterial small subunit ribosomal RNA". The record is from RNAcentral.
UGAACGCUAGCUACAGGCUUAACACAUGCAAGUCGAGGGGCAGCAUUUCAGUUUGCUUGCAAACUGGAGAUGGCGACCGGCGCACGGGUGAGUAACACGUAUCCAACCUGCCGAUAACUCGGGGAUAGCCUUUCGAAAGAAAGAUUAAUACCCGAUGGUAUAAUCAGACCGCAUGGUCUUGUUAUUAAAGAAUUUCGGUUAUCGAUGGGGAUGCGUUCCAUUAGGCAGUUGGUGAGGUAACGGCUCACCAAACCUUCGAUGGAUAGGGGUUCUGAGAGGAAGGUCCCCCACAUUGGAACUGAGACACGGUCCAAACUCCUACGGGAGGCAGCAGUGAGGAAUAUUGGUCAAUGGGCGCAGGCCUGAACCAGCCAAGUAGCGUGAAGGAUGACUGCCCUAUGGGUUGUAAACUUCUUUUAUAUGGGAAUAAAGUUUUCCACGUGUGGAAUUUUGUAUGUACCAUAUGAAUAAGGAUCGGCUAACUCCGUGCCAGCAGCCGCGGUAAUACGGAGGAUCCGAGCGUUAUCCGGAUUUAUUGGGUUUAAAGGGAGCGUAGGUGGACAGUUAAGUCAGUUGUGAAAGUUUACGGCUCAACCGUAAAAUUGCAGUUGAUACUGGCUGUCUUGAGUACAGUAGAGGUGGGCGGAAUUCGUGGUGUAGCGGUGAAAUGCUUAGAUAUCACGAAGAACUCCGAUUGCGAAGGCAGCUCACUGGACUGCAACUGACACUGAUGCUCGAAAGUGUGGGUAUCAAACAGGAUUAGAUACCCUGGUAGUCCACACAGUAAACGAUGAAUACUCGCUGUUUGCGAUAUACAGUAAGCGGCCAAGCGAAAGCAUUAAGUAUUCCACCUGGGGAGUACGCCGGCAACGGUGAAACUCAAAGGAAUUGACGGGGGCCCGCACAAGCGGAGGAACAUGUGGUUUAAUUCGAUGAUACGCGAGGAACCUUACCCGGGCUUAAAUUGCAUUUGAAUAUAUUGGAAACAGUAUAGCCGUAAGGCAAAUGUGAAGGUGCUGCAUGGUUGUCGUCAGCUCGUGCCGUGAGGUGUCGGCUUAAGUGCCAUAACGAGCGCAACCCUUAUCUUUAGUUACUAACAGGUCAUGCUGAGGACUCUAGAGAGACUGCCGUCGUAAGAUGUGAGGAAGGUGGGGAUGACGUCAAAUCAGCACGGCCCUUACGUCCGGGGCUACACACGUGUUACAAUGGGGGGUACAGAAGGCAGCUACCUGGUGACAGGAUGCUAAUCCCAAAAGCCUCUCUCAGUUCGGAUCGAAGUCUGCAACCCGACUUCGUGAAGCUGGAUUCGCUAGUAAUCGCGCAUCAGCCAUGGCGCGGUGAAUACGUUCCCGGGCCUUGUACACACCGCCCGUCAAGCCAUGAAAGCCGGGGGUACCUGAAGUACGUAACCGCAAGGAGCGUCCUAGGGUAAAACUGGUAAUUGGGGCUAAGU